AUACGUAGGGGGCGAGCGUUGUCCGGAAUGAUUGGGCGUAAAGGGCGCGUAGGCGGCCCGGUAAGUCUGGAGUGAAAGUCCUGUUUUUAAGAUGGGAAUUGCUUUGGAUACUGUCGGGCUUGAGUGCAGGAGAGGUAAGUGGAAUUCCCAGUGUAGCGGUGAAAUGCGUAGAGAUUGGGAGGAACACCAGUGGCGAAGGCGAAUUACUGGACUGUAACAGACGCUGAGGCGCGAAAGUGUGGGGAGCAAACAGGAUUAGAUACCCUGGUAGUCCACACUGUAAACGAUGAAUGCUUGGUGUAGGGGGUAUCGACCCCUUCUGUGCCGCAGUCAACACAAUAAGCAUUCCGCCUGGGGAGUACGGCCGCAAGGUUGAAACUCAAAGGAAUUGACGGGG
RNAcentral lists this ribosomal RNA (397 nucleotides) under uncultured bacterium. RNAcentral's name for it is "partial 16S ribosomal RNA". It matches the Rfam family "Bacterial small subunit ribosomal RNA", at positions 523 to 918 of the family's 1533-position model. The record is from RNAcentral.